Molecule: ribosomal RNA, 441 nt
Filed under: uncultured bacterium
Lineage: Bacteria
Description: partial 16S ribosomal RNA
Rfam family: Bacterial small subunit ribosomal RNA
Source: RNAcentral
GAUGAACGCUGGCGGCGUGCCUAAUACAUGCAAGUCGAACGGGGAGUAGCAAUACUCUUAGUGGCGAACGGGUGAGUAACGCGUUGGUACCUGCCCCGAAGCGGGGGAUAACGGACCGAAAGGUCCGCUAAUACCCCAUGUGCUCGGUAACGAGUAAAGGUGAAAACCACUUUGGGAGGGGCAUGCGUCCCAUCAGCUAGUUGGUAAGGUAACGGCUUACCAAGGCGGUGACGGGUAGGGGACCUGAGAGGGUGGCCCCCCACAAUGGAACUGAAACACGGUCCAUACACCUACGGGUGGCAGCAGUAGGGAAUAUUGGUAAUGGGCGCAAGCCUGAACCAGCAACGCCGCGUGUGCGAUGACGGCCUUCGGGUUGUAAAGCACCUUUGACUGGGACGAGGAAGGACGGUACCGGUCGAAUCAGCCUCGGCUAACUACGUG